AUUUAUAUAGUUUAAUAAAAAACACUACAUUUUCAAUGUAGAAAUAAAAAUUUAUUUUUUAUAAAUA
Molecule: transfer RNA, 67 nt
Filed under: Anopheles koliensis
Lineage: Eukaryota; Metazoa; Arthropoda; Insecta; Diptera; Culicidae
Description: tRNA-Glu
Rfam family: tRNA
About the family: Transfer RNA (tRNA) molecules are approximately 80 nucleotides in length. Their secondary structure includes four short double-helical elements and three loops (D, anti-codon, and T loops).
Source: RNAcentral